Molecule: ribosomal RNA, 378 nt
Filed under: uncultured Gonostomum
Lineage: Eukaryota; Ciliophora; Spirotrichea; Sporadotrichida; Oxytrichidae
Description: SSU rRNA
Rfam family: Eukaryotic small subunit ribosomal RNA
Source: RNAcentral
CCAGCUCCAAUAGCAUAUAUUAAAGUUGUUGCAGUUAAAAAGCUCGUAGUUGGACUUCUGGGAGGAUGCCAAUGUCCGCUUGUUAGCGUGUGCAGCGGCGUCCUUCCAUCCUUCUGUUAACACUUCUCGGCAUUCAUUUGCUGGUUGUGGGCUCAGAUAUUUUACCUUGAGAAAAUUAGAGUGUUUCAGGCAGGCUUGCGCCGGAAUACAUUAGCAUGGAAUAAUAGAAUAGGACUUUAGUCUCCUUUGUUGGUUUGAGGGACUGAAGUAAUGAUUAAUAGGGAUAGUUGGGGGCAUUAGUACUUAAUUGUCAGAGGUGAAAUUCUCGGAUUUGUUAAAGACUAACUUAUGCGAAAGCAUUUGCCAAGGAUGUUUUCA